Non-coding RNA from Spinacia oleracea (spinach), 95 nucleotides. NCBI's taxonomy places the organism in Eukaryota, Viridiplantae, Streptophyta, Magnoliopsida, Caryophyllales, Amaranthaceae. The record is from Rfam.
UGAGGUCGUGUGAUGAUUUUAAAUGCAUAGUUCAUAUGAUUGUAUCUAUGAUUAACGUAAUUCAAAUAGUCUUUCGCUCCUAUCUGAUGAUCUCA